Molecule: ribosomal RNA, 419 nt
Filed under: uncultured bacterium
Lineage: Bacteria
Description: bacterial SSU rRNA
Rfam family: Bacterial small subunit ribosomal RNA
Source: RNAcentral
UAAGGAAUAUUGGUCAAUGGAGGCAACUCUGAACCAGCCAUGCCGCGUGAAGGAUUAAGGCCCUCUGGGUUGUAAACUUCUUUUAUAUGGGAAGAAAUGUACUUUUUCUAAAGUGCUUGACGGUACCAUAGGAAUAAGCACCGGCUAACUCCGUGCCAGCAGCCGCGGUAAUACGGAGGGUGCAAGCGUUAUCCGGAUUUACUGGGUUUAAAGGGUGCGUAGGCGGAUGAAUAAGUCAGUGGUUAAAUCUACGAGCUUAACUCGGAAACUGCCGUUGAUACUAUUUGUCUUGAAUAUUGUGGAGGUAAGCGGAAGAUGUCAUGGAGCGGUGAAAUGCUUAGAUAUGACAGAGAACACCAAUUGCGAAGGCAGCUGGCUACACAAUCAUUGACGCUGAGGCACGAAAGCGUGGGGAUCAA